AAUAAAUCUUCUCGGGCCUCUGUGGAUGGGCCUGGCAGGUCUUCGGUCUGAGAGCUGAUUGACAGGACAUAUUACAUUCCGGAGCAGACUCAGCCUCUGACAUUUCUUUGAAGCAACACUGAAGCGUGAAGCUGGUUUCUUAAAGGGCUCCCGUCCCUUUCUGAGCCUCAGGGACCCCAAGGUGGUAGUGGGGGAAGUGGAGGGGCACGUGCAGAGCUUGGCGGAGGCCAAGAGACAAUCAUCACGUGCACAGGGGUGAUGACAAUCAGGAGCUCCGUGGUGCUGCACAAUUCGCAUGCAUCAAGGACCUUUCUGUGCCAGCCCUGUGCCGAAGGUAUCAGCACACCCCCGUCAGCAGGCUGGGUCUCUUGUGGUUACCAUCUCUCAGGUGCCAGGGCUUGUGACGAAUCCCAGUGCGUCACACAGAACGGGUUCGCUAAAGACUGAGAAAUCGCGAUCAGCAUAGGUGGACAAGGUCUCUUCUAUUCUGCUUAUCCCCAAAGACCUGCGCCGAGGCCCUGCGCUUGGUCAGCUAUCCCAUAGGGAGAAUGUUUUGGGGAGAGACACACCCACACUAAUUAUUCUCCCCACUCACAGGAUAAGUGUGGGAGCAACCCGGGCAGUGGAGAAACACAGACUGACACCGGCAGUUCAUUCUGAUUCUUCUAGGAAAGGUCCAGGGAGUGUCAGGCUUGUAGCACAGCGCCUCCUGCUGGGCAGAGAGCUCUGCUUCUUUGAACUCCCCGCCCAGCAUCCAUUGUGAACCGUGGAGUCUCAGUGACGUCGUCGAGAACUCCUGACAAUCCUUUGCAGUUGACACUAGCAGCCCCUGUUUUCCACGCUAUCCUGCAGAAGGAAUUUAAAAAACCAAAACCUUGUUUUUCUUCUACAUCCCCGUUCCUGAUCGCAAGCACCGGAGCUGUGACAUGCACGUGCAAGGGGGUUGGAUUUGGUCCUACGGCUGAACUCAUCACUUGGUCAGUGGAUAGAGAAGCUAGAACUCAAAGAAAUUAAAUGCACUGGAUGAAGUCAUUGUCAGCAAAUGGCAGGGACAUGAUCUAGAGAAAACAUUCCUAAAAUUCAUCUGGAACCAGA
Long non-coding RNA from Chinchilla lanigera (long-tailed chinchilla), 1095 nucleotides. RefSeq lists it as uncharacterized. Lineage: Eukaryota; Metazoa; Chordata; Mammalia; Rodentia; Chinchillidae. The record is from RefSeq and is a predicted model, not a curated record. The transcript has 3 exons.